CCUACGGGAGGCAGCAGUGGGGAAUAUUGCACAAUGGGGGAGACCCUGAUGCAGCGACGCCGCGUGAAGGAAGAAGUAUUUCGGUAUGUAAACUUCUAUCAGCCGGGAAGAAAAUGACGGUACCUGCCUAAGAAACCCCGUCUAACUACGUGCCAGCAGCCGCGGUAAUACGUAGGGGGCAAGUGUUAUCCGGAUGUACUGGGUGUAAAGGGAGCGUAGGCGGCGAUGCAAGUCAGAAGUGAAAGCCCGGGGCUCAACGCCGGGACUGCUUUUGAAACUGUAUGGCUAGAUUGCAGGAGAGGCAAGUGGAAUGCCUGGUGUAGCGGUGAAAUGCGUAGAUAUUAGGAGGAACACCAGUGGCGAAGGCGGCUGGCUGGACUGUAAAUGACGCUGAGGCUCGAAAGCGUGGGGAGCAAACAGGAUUAGAUACCCGAGUAGUC
RNAcentral lists this ribosomal RNA (440 nucleotides) under uncultured bacterium. Its description in RNAcentral is "partial 16S ribosomal RNA". It matches the Rfam family "Bacterial small subunit ribosomal RNA", at positions 338 to 795 of the family's 1533-position model. The record is from RNAcentral.